Molecule: non-coding RNA, 23 nt
Filed under: Arabidopsis thaliana (thale cress)
Lineage: Eukaryota; Viridiplantae; Streptophyta; Magnoliopsida; Brassicales; Brassicaceae
Source: RNAcentral
UCGCGUGGUGUCCGGUGCGCCCC